Molecule: ribosomal RNA, 202 nt
Filed under: Sprattus fuegensis (Falkland sprat)
Lineage: Eukaryota; Metazoa; Chordata; Actinopteri; Clupeiformes; Clupeidae
Description: partial 16S ribosomal RNA
Source: RNAcentral
UUUUAAAUGAAGACCUGUAUGAAUGGCAUAACGAGGGUUUAACUGUCUCUUUCUCCCGGUCAGUGAAACUGAUCUGCCCGUGCAGAAGCGGGCAUACGCAUACAAGACGAGAAGACCCUAUGGAGCUUUAGACGCCCACCAAUUACGAAAAGCGGGCCCGGUUCAAGGAGCCCUCAAACAACGUAAUGUUGGCACAAACGUC